AAGGAGAGUGAAGACAGCAACGCUCAGGAACCUCCUUUGAGACAAGCUGAAACUAGAGCUUACCAACUUCCUAGACUGACUGGCCGGAUUAACCAGCUGCGCCCUCCGAUCCCAGAUGCCAAGGACACGUGAUACUGGACACAAGAGGCCUGGGUUCUUAUCCUAUCUCUGCCUGGCUGACAUUUUCAAACCCUGAAGGUCAAUCAAGCUUGGUCUCUGCCAGGGCUCAUGCACCCAUCACAGUCUAUGUUCUCUCCAGAAGGGAUUUUAGGAUCAGAGAGGUUCUGGGACUGGCUGAAGAUGGCCAGCAUGCAAGAGACAGAAGUGCCACUCGGUCUCCACGGUUCCUGAGACCACGAUCCUGGCGGCUCCUAUUACAGGCUGUCUACUCAUCCCCUCAGCCCAAGUAGCCACAUAUACCUCCAACCCUAGUUCACCCUAGAGAGCCUGUGCCGUGGACCUGAACUUGGGCUCUAACAAUCCAGCCCAAUUAAUAUACAGGUGUUCAUAGUUA
This is a non-coding RNA of Mus caroli (Ryukyu mouse), 514 nucleotides long. The record is from RefSeq and is a predicted model, not a curated record. NCBI's taxonomy places the organism in Eukaryota, Metazoa, Chordata, Mammalia, Rodentia, Muridae.